This is a non-coding RNA of Picea glauca (white spruce), 108 nucleotides long. NCBI's taxonomy places the organism in Eukaryota, Viridiplantae, Streptophyta, Pinopsida, Pinales, Pinaceae. The record is from Rfam.
UACAACAUAGCAUAAUGAAACGGAUCCCAUUAGACCUCCAUAGUUAAGCGCUCUUACGUUAGAGUAGUACUAGGAUGGGUGACCACACGGGAAGUCCUAAUGUUUUAC